AGGAAGAUAAAGCCACUUGAACAUCCAUAAGUGCAAGAAUCAACAGUAAAAUAUAGUAUCUAUGCCAACUUAAAAAAGGUAGCUUCAAAAUGUGAAAGGAGAGAUGAGGAGGAGGUGAUAUAUUUUCUCUUUAUAUAUUUUCUUUUUCUCUCAUUAUAUAAAUCAUAUCUUGUUUUUAUAGAAAAGCAUCAAAUACAAACCCAUUUAAAACAAAAUGAUGAAUAGUAAAUACUAAAAUAAUUGUCUGACCCUCUUAAGUAAAGGAGAACUUCCUUUGACAGUCUCUAGUUUUUAUUUUUAUUAUCUCUGGAGUCAGAGGUGCCUUCUAGACAGAGCUAGGGGCUCAUGGCUAUGUGAACAGAGCUAUAAGAAGAAUGUCCCCUGAUACUGGACGGAGGAGAGGCAGUCAGCUCAGCUUGCUGUGUGUGCCUCUGUUGGCUUUAGACAGGUGUGUGGAAAUGGCUUCAGAUGCCCUAGAAAGGCUCGAUUUGGGAAGGACCUGGGAGUCCCUGAGAAGGAGGGUAGCUGGGGGUCAGUGGCUUUCACAAGCGCUACGAGAUACCACAUACCUGGCAGCCCUCGGUGAAGAUGUUCGGAGAUCGUUCUUAGUUCUUAUGUGGCUGGAGUUUUGCUCCUGUCUUUGGGUGGCUCCUUGCCUCUUCCUCUCUUUCUUCCUCUCCCUGUAUCCCCUCUUCCCACCGGCUCCAACAUAAUUCCUUUUGCUGCUCUGUUUUACCCUGUAGUCAAGGGUGUCCACUGUGAGGGAAGGAGACUGCAAUUUCCACUUAGGUUCCUGACAUAGGAUUGCCAACCCAACCCUGCAGAUAAUGGCUGAAGUUCUGAAUAGAUAUCUGAGAAUCAUCACCCAUGCUUCUGUGCAGGGCUCUUCUGCUCUCUGAAGUCAAAGGAUGGAGACCUCAAGAGAAUCACUCAACUUUUCAUGUAGACCCUUGAAAGUAAGUCCAACAAGUAGAAGUUGGACAUUUUAUUCCCUGGUUUUCAUAGCAAGUCAGCAGGCUUGAGGACCCACACAAGUGCUACCAGAGAAGCAGAAAGAACCCUUGGGAGAUGGCACAGUGUGCCACCAGGCAGAGAUAAAGACUUCCCUGUAGAGUUCCCAAUAGCAUGGAAGACAGAUUUUGAACCUGUCAUGGACCCCAGAUUUAGGAUUCGGAAAGGUAAGUGGGAUUCGUGGCCAUAGACUUGCCAGAGACCAAAGCCGUUUGGAACAUCAGAACAAGUGGGUGAGUUUAUUGGUUGGAGGGCAAGUAAAAGAGGUGCUUAUGCCUAAGGGAGUGUCUCUAAAUUGGCCCCUUUAUCAGCAAGGCUGUUGGAACGACCACUUGACCAUCUUGAGUUCCUGGAAAAUGAGCCAAGUCAGCAGUUAUGAACAACCAGGGAGAAGUCUGGAAAAGUUUGAAAGCUCGCUGUGAGCAGCCACAUAAGAAGACUGAAGAAUGCCAACAGUUGCACCCAGCCUGGUGUAUCCAAAGUACUCUCUUUGGCAUGCUAGCUACCCUGUGAUACUUGCCAGCACCACGGUCUGGUGGUCUGCCUGGAUAAGUGUCCACUGCAACCAGCCUUGGCAAUCUCUCCAGCAGGGCCAUGAAAUUCUUCAUGCUCUGGGAGUUUUGUUUUCCUGAACCCUUUGACACAGAGCUUUCAUUGAGAAGGGGAAAUGAAGAGAGAAGUGGUGGUUCCAAGUACCAUGAAUAGCCCCGCCCUAAGGGGAGCAGUUUGUGAGCAUGAAAAGCACCCUGGGUGAGUUAAGGAGUCUGGGGUGAGUAAAGGAGCUGCCAUUUAGCUGACAAGAAGCUUACUGUAAACCAUGGAGGUAAGAAUUUCAAGGGAGGGGAAAUGAGUUGACAGAAAAAGUCCUUUCCAAAUGAAUGCAUCCUAUUUCCUAGUUCAACUCGUCUCCAGUGCGAUCCUGGACCAGCGGCCCUGCCCAGCCCAAGCAUUUUCACUCUGUCCAUCGCUGGAACAAGAAUUGAAAAAUCACCUGGGGGAGAAAGAUUAUUAGGAAUAAUGAGAACGCAUCUGACCAAAUUUGGCCCAAAUUUCGUGAUUUCUUGGUUUCAAGUAGAAUUCAAACCUUUCAGGGCUCAACUUUUUUUCUUUUGGCAAACCACAAUGUCUUAUUUCUAAGCAAGGAGCUUUAAGGAAGACUUGUUGGCCAUCAAAAAUAGCCGUUAGAAAACAAUAUUUUGAUGAGUUAAGUGUAAAUGAAUCAGAAACAUGUGGAUUAGAUUUACCUCAAAGUCCAUGUGGGUUUGAAGGGCAAGGAGGAAAAGGCUUAGGCAGAGUCACACUUGGGAUUUUGCUGAUCCUUGCAGGAGAGAAAAGUAAGCUUGAGGGGUCAUCAACUGCCAGCACCAGGAGGAUGUGGUAGGUCCCUUGGCAGUGUUAUUAUUAUUAUUGAUUGCAUAUAUGGGUAUAGAUAUUUUAUAGUGUUCCUUCUAAGAACAUUAUGCUCAUUGCUCAGACCAUCUCUAUGAAAUGAACUGCCCGGUGUAAUGAAGGCUCAGUGGCAAGACUGGGCCUUGGACAUAGAACCUGUAACUGCUUUAUCACUGAAUGAUGAUUUGUCUCUCCAAACACAGAACAGAAUGUGAAAAAGUCCUUACAGUGCUUAAAAAGGGAUUUGUUUUAGAUAUUAUGGGAGGCUUUCCAAUGUCAAAACUACCUACCUUCUAUCUGACUUCCCAAAGUAGUGUGGAAAUAAAGGGAAUCUUCAAGGGAGAAGCAUUAGAUUGAUGGAAAGCUUAAGUACUGUACUAGUGGUUAUUCUAAAGGGUUUUUAAUAUCCCUCCAUUCUCCCUCCUCUAUUCACCACCAAAUUUCAAACCUUCUUGCAUAUGGGCUUUUAUUUCUUUCUGUCUUUAAUGGAGAAAGUGUUCUUUGCUCAAUCAAAGACCAAUCCCUCUGCUUGUGCCCUAGACCUGGAUGUCCAAUAUGGUCAUCGCCACAAGUGGCUACCGGGUC
Molecule: non-coding RNA, 2985 nt
Organism: Miniopterus natalensis
Lineage: Eukaryota; Metazoa; Chordata; Mammalia; Chiroptera; Miniopteridae
Source: RefSeq, a predicted model, not a curated record